GUUUUGAAGCCGCUUCUUCGCUCGAGUUGGGUCUCGCCCAGCCCUGUCUCUUCCUACGUACUUUGUGCGGAGAAGUUUGGGAGCCCCGGCCCGCGGUGAAUUUGGCUUCAUUCAUGAGCGAGGAAUUAUUCUUGACAGAAGUAUUUUUAAAGAAAAAUAUUUACAAUGGCCUCAGCAGUUCUUAGUUCUGUUCCCACUACUGCUUCUCGUUUUGCCCUGUUGCAAGUGGAUAGUGGUAGUGGCUCUGAUUCUGAGCCUGGAAAAGGCAAAGGUAGGACUCCGGGAAAGUCUCAAACAAGCAAAUCAACUGCAAAUGAGAAAAAGAGAGAGAAAAGAAGAAAAAAGAAGGAACAGCAACAGACUGAAGCAAAUGAGCUCAGGAAUCUUGCUUUUAAGAAAAUUCCCCAGAAAUCUUCCCAUGCCACUUGUAAUGCUCAACAUGAGCUUCCUUUACCAAAUCCAGUACAGAAGGAUACACGAGAAGAAAAUUGGCAAGAGUGGAGACAAAGAGAUGAGCAGCUGACUUCUGAAAUGUUUGAAGCAGAUCUUGAGAAGGCAUUGUUGCUAAGUAAAUUAGAAUAUGAAGAACACAAAAAGGAGUAUGAAAAUAAUGAAAAUGCUUCAACUCAGUCAAAGGUUGUGAAUAAAAAAGAUAAAAGAAAGAAUCAUCAGGGAAAAGACAAACCUCUCACAGUAUCACUAAAAGAUUUUCAAUCUGAAGAUCACAUUAAUAAAAAGACAGAGGAAUUGAGUUCUUCUCAGACUUUAACACAUGAUGGAGGAUUCUUCAAUAGACUGGAAGAUGAUGUUCAUAAAAUUCUUAUUAGAGAAAAAAGAAGAGAACAGCUUACAGAAUAUAAUGGAACAGAUAAUUUUGCAGCUCAUGAACACAACCAGGAAGUAGUUUUGAAAGAUGGAAGAAUUGAAAGACUAAAGUUGGAACUUGAAAGGAAAGAUGCUGAAAUCCAGAAGCUGAAAAAUGUAAUCACUCAAUGGGAGGCAAAGUAUAAAGAAGUAAAGGCAAGAAAUGCACAGUUAUUGAAAAUGCUUCAGGAAGGUGAAAUGAAAGAUAAAGCAGAAAUACUUCUGCAAGUUGAUGAAUCACAAAGUAUCAAGAAUGAACUGACUAUACAGGUGACUUCACUUCAUGCUGCGUUAGAACAAGAAAGAUCUAAAGUGAAAGUAUUACAAGCAGAAUUAGCCAAAUAUCAGUCAAAUUGGAGCAGAUUAAAUACAGAUGUAUAUAUAUGUCACUGAGCAAUAUGAAAAGUAUAAUCUACUUUUCAAACCAGUGAUGAACAAAAUCAUACUUCUAAUGCUGUUGUCUGGGUGGCAGAAAAGGGAAAAGAAACUCUGAAUUCGACCAGUGUAGGUGAUUCCAUUAGCCUUUGAGGUCAACACAAAAAUUAAAACUUUCAGGGUUUUGCAAAAAUGUAUAUAUUUAAUGCUGUGCAACUGCUAAGCUAUGCAGUUUUUGUUGAAGAAAUAUGUAAAACAGUUAGCUUACUAACAGUCUAUAAUUUUUUGUCCUUUUGGCUUAAAGUGAAAAGAAGAAAAACAGAAUUCCAGCAGAACACAAUGAUUAUUGUUUACUAUCCAUACUUCUUAUCACUUUAGUUUUUCAUCAGUCAAUAAAAUUAAUUUACUCUUCCAUUAA
Myotis lucifugus (little brown bat) is the source of this 1657-nucleotide RNA transcript. It is a transcript of the gene named G kinase anchoring protein 1, with no coding region annotated. The transcript is spliced from 13 exons. The record is from RefSeq and is a predicted model, not a curated record. NCBI's taxonomy places the organism in Eukaryota, Metazoa, Chordata, Mammalia, Chiroptera, Vespertilionidae.